This 939-nucleotide long non-coding RNA is filed under the name Oncorhynchus mykiss (rainbow trout). RNAcentral's name for it is "lncRNA (ENSOMYG00000052921.1)". The record is from RNAcentral. Lineage: Eukaryota; Metazoa; Chordata; Actinopteri; Salmoniformes; Salmonidae.
GCCACUUGUCAUCCGAUUGUUCAGUGUGAUUGAGAGGUGGGUGAGAGGAUGGCCCGUAGUGAGGAUUAGCUCAUCUAUGAGUCCACUAUCCAUAGGGGAACUACUCAAUCAGUCAACCAGUCAAAUCCUCCCCAACACACUCAGCAUGACCACAUAGCAUUAGCUCAGUAAGAGCAGAGAAUCAGUGUGCUGUGGCUGCCAACCCCUAUGUUUCCAUUUAGCCAUAAUAGCUAAUGGUCUCCAUACUGAACAACAUAGUUCUAUUUCAUUACAUGAAAAGUAUUUCUCUGAGGGAGAGAUGGAAGAAUGGACGUCUUGCACUUUGAAUUUGAUCUCUCAUUACCUCAGAAACCUCUUGACAGGACUCCCGGAGGCUUUUUACUCCAUUGGCAAACGUUAGCGAAGGUUGCUAAAUGUUAGCGUAGCCCUUGGGUCGUUCUAAUACUUGCUCACAUUCAGAGACUGAACUAUUAACCUAUUCCCUGUGACUUACGGCGAGGGGGAUGUCUGUAAGUGACAUGGCUAUUGGGCAAUAUAAUCACCUUGAGGGAUUCUGUUUUAUCGAAAGCCAUCCACUAGCUGCUAGUAGUGAAUCAAGGAGAUAUGAACAUUAGGGUUGGAGUUAGAUCAUCCCAGAGUCGUCUUAAUAAGUUGAAAGGUCUUGAUUACACACAGAUGAGAAGCGGUUUAUAAUAACUGAUAUAUCCUGUCUGACCAUUAUAUCUCUCCUCUUCCUCCAGGGACCAGCGGGACUCAAGGGAGAUAAGGGUGACCAAGGAGAUAUUGGUCCCAGGGGCCCUCCUCCCCACAACUCAUACGCUGGUCUGCACAGUAAUCAGAUCCUCACCGUCAAGGUUUGUCCCUCCGUAGCUCUGGUCUCCCAGCAGUCCUCUGUCUCUCAUGCUCUGCUGACCUUCCUGUCUCUCUCCACUGGACUAC